CUUUAAUAGAUAAUUUUAGUAUGUGGUGUGUUGGUAUGUUGGAUUAAGCUUUGUAGUUUAUUUUAAAAAUUUUUGUAUGUGGGGCAAAGGAAAAAGGAAGCUUUAGGUUGUUUUUUUUUGUUUUUUGGUAUUGCAUAUCAUUAAAGGAUUAUUUUAUUGUUUAUGAUUAAUAAAAAUAGAAGGUGGAGAAAUUUAUAAUUUUAUUGUUAUAUAAUAGGAGUUAUUGUUUUUUGUUUUGAUAUGACGUCUUUUAUGAUAUUUGUUAUUUUUGUUUUUCUUAGAAAAUUGUAAAAGUUUUGUUUUAUGUUUAGGAUUUAUAUGAUUUGGAGUUUUUUUAAUUUUAGUGUUAUGACUUUUUCUUUAUUGUUGUUGUUUUUUAUUUGUAUUUUUAUUAAUAUUUUGAUAAUUAUAUAAUUUUUAAUUUAGUAUAUUUUUAAAUGGAAUUAUUUUUUGUAAAUUUGGGUUUGAGAACUAGGUUUAUGAUCAAAUGUUUAUUAAAGACUGAGAUGUUAAUUUGAUAUUGUCCUCUGCUCUAUGAUGUUUUAAAUGGCCGCCUUAGCGUGAGGGCAUGAAAGUAGCAAAAUAAUUUGUGCUUUUAAUGGGUUCGAGUAUGAAAGGGGGUUUGGUUGUUUUUGUUUUAUUUUUAUUUAGAAUUAUAAGGAUGUUUAAUAAUUAAUAUUUGUAUUUUAACAAAGAUAAGUCUUCGGAAAUUCUUUUAGUUGCUGUUUUUUUAUAUAGUAGCUGUGUUGCUUAGGGCAAGUUUUUUUAUAAGAUGGUUUACUAGGUUUAUAGUAGUGAGUUACUCCGGAGUUAACAGAAAAUCACAUUUUUUCUAGAUGUUAUAGAUAAAAGGGUUUUACAUCGAUGUUGUAUUCUGACUGGCUGAAGGAGUA
This 893-nucleotide ribosomal RNA is filed under the name Paraspidodera uncinata. RNAcentral describes it as "partial 16S ribosomal RNA". Lineage: Eukaryota; Metazoa; Nematoda; Chromadorea; Rhabditida; Aspidoderidae. The record is from RNAcentral.